Molecule: non-coding RNA, 21 nt
Filed under: Caenorhabditis elegans
Lineage: Eukaryota; Metazoa; Nematoda; Chromadorea; Rhabditida; Rhabditidae
Source: RNAcentral
UAAAAAUUGGUUCUCCAUGAA